This 657-nucleotide ribosomal RNA is filed under the name uncultured Prevotella sp. RNAcentral describes it as "bacterial SSU rRNA". It matches the Rfam family "Bacterial small subunit ribosomal RNA", at positions 92 to 747 of the family's 1533-position model. The record is from RNAcentral. Lineage: Bacteria; Pseudomonadati; Bacteroidota; Bacteroidia; Bacteroidales; Prevotellaceae.
CGACCGGCGCACGGGUGAGUAACGCGUAUCCAACCUGCCCAUAACAAGGGGAUAACCCGUAGAAAUGCGGCCUAAUACCCUAUGUGGUCCGAUGAUGGCAUCAGAUUUGGACUAAAGAUUUAUCGGUUAUGGAUGGGGAUGCGUCUGAUUAGUUUGUUGGCGGGGUAACGGCCCACCAAGACAUCGAUCAGUAGGGGUUCUGAGAGGAAGGUCCCCCACAUAGGAACUGAGACACGGUCCUAACUCCUACGGGAGGCAGCAGUGAGGAAUAUUGGUCAAUGGGCGUGAGCCUGAACCAGCCAAGUAGCGUGCAGGAUGACGGCCCUAUGGGUUGUAAACUGCUUUUAUACGGGGAUAACAGACAUUACGUGUAGUGUUUUGCAGGUACCGUAUGAAUAAGGACCGGCUAAUUCCGUGCCAGCAGCCGCGGUAAUACGGAAGGUCCGGGCGUUAUCCGGAUUUAUUGGGUUUAAAGGGAGCGUAGGCCGCAGGUUAAGCGUGUUGUGAAAUGUAGAUGCUCAACAUCUGAAUUGCAGCGCGAACUGGUCUGCUUGAGUACGCGCAACGUUGGCGGAAUUCGUCGUGUAGCGGUGAAAUGCUUAGAUAUGACGAAGAACUCCGAUUUGCGAGGCAGCUGACGGGAGCGUUACUGACGCU